RNAcentral lists this ribosomal RNA (3767 nucleotides) under Triticum aestivum (bread wheat). RNAcentral describes it as "partial small subunit ribosomal RNA". Lineage: Eukaryota; Viridiplantae; Streptophyta; Magnoliopsida; Poales; Poaceae. The record is from RNAcentral.
GGGUUUGUAUCCCCCUCUGGCGAGGUCAGAGGUGGCAGAUGGAGGGGAGGUCAGCGGUCUGCUGCGGUGGAGGCGCCGGACGGCGACGGGCAGCCGCCUUACCAAACGCGGGGCUGCCGCCCCCACCUCCACGACGGCGGAGCGCCAGCGCCCCCACAGAGGCGGGUCGCGAGGACCGGCGGCUCGACGCCGGCGCAGCGGCUCUUGCCGCUGCCGCUCUCCCCGCAGGUCCCUUGCCGCCUGCUCCGCCGGCCGGUGCGCCCGCAAAGGAGACGCCGCACGUUGCCGCCCGAGGGCGCGCUGGGGGGAGUCGGCGUCGGCGGUCCGCAGCCCCUACGCGCGGGGAGACUACCGGUCCGUCUCCAGUCCCGCGAGCUACACUACGGCGACCGCAAGCGGCAGGGUGCCUUUACACGGCAACGAGGACGAUUACCGAGGUACCUUCUACCGCCAGUAUACCGGCUUAGCAACUUACACCUCCCCGUUAACCAGUCCCUACUCCUACAACAAUAACCGUUACCUCUACCGUCACAACACCCUUCGUCUCACCCGCUGCCACUUAACCUCUCCCUCCUCCUGCUCUCGUCUUUCUUCUCCACCAGCCGUAGACAGUACUUAGGCGGAGGGUUCUCCUCUCGCCAGAGUCGGUUCGCGUCUAAAGGCGGACCGACACCCUCACAACGACGAUGGCCGUAGCCGCAGCCUCCAACACCACAAGGAGGCUACAACUUCGCUCUACUAAGAUUAGUGCUUUGUCUUUCGUUUUCUCUUCUCCAGCCUCCACGGUGGCUCCGUGUGUUACUAUACGUUCUUAGAGUUCAGCAGUUAACACAACGAGGUCUACUAAAACGUCUGGCAGGUGCUUUAAUGCAACCAGUACCACGAAGAGGCUAAAACUCCGUUCUACUAAGGUUAGUGCUUUGUCUUCCGUUUUCUCUUCUCCAACUUCCACGGUGGCUCCGUGUGUUAGUAUACGUUCUUAGAGUUCAGCAAUUAACACAGCGAGGUCUACUAAAACGUCUGGCAGGUUCUUUAAUACAACCAGUACCGUGGAGAGGCUAAAACUCCGCUCUACUAAGAUUAUUGCUUUGCCUUCCGUUUUCUCUUCUCCAGCCUCCACGGUGGCUCCGUGUGUUAGUAUACGUUCUUAGAGUCCAGCAGUUAACACAGCGAGGUCUGGCAGGUGUUUUAAUACAACCAGUACCGCGAAGAGGCUAAAACUCCGCUCGACUAAGAUUAGUGCUUUGCCUUCCAUUUUCUCUUCUCCAGCCUCCACGGUGGCUCCGUGUGUUAGUAUUCGUUCUUAGAGUUCGGCAGUUAACACAGCGAGGUCUACUAAAACGUCUGGCAGGUGUUUUAAUACAACCAGUACCACGAAGAGGCUAAAACUCCGCUCUAUUAAGAUUACACCUUUACCUUCCGUUUUAUUUUCUCCAACCACCUCGAUGGCUCCGUGUGUUAGUUUUCUAGGUUCUUAGAGUUCAGCAGUUGCAAUAACAAGUUCUACCAAAACGUUCUCCGGUUGUGCCGGUACUAUUAGGUGAUUUACUACAAUGUUCACUGAGUGGUUCUGUAUCAAAGAACCUCGUCUACUUACCAUCUUCUCAUAAUGCACUUUCCUUCGCGCGUGGCGAUCAUCGCUCCUUGCGACUCUAAUCUUCGUUUGCGCUUCCUGCGAACGUACUUCCGUGAGGCUCCUGAGUAGGCUCUCCGGGAGAAUUACACUUCUCUUUCCCGUUCUCAAGUCUCUAACAGUUCUAGUUACACUAUAACCAUCUACUACGUGCACACGAACUGCACUAUGCGAGCCGUAGAUUCACACCUCUGGUACAACGCUGGCUAGUUUAACUUCUAUUCCUACCACACCCGGAAUUAUGAUUAUCCCAUUAAUAUGUUCGUAACUACCGAGGUCUGUUUACGGGAACCUGCGUUGCUUUCUUUAGAUAACCAUCACAAGGAUUUAGCGAACGAGGAUCCUUUUUACACUUCUUCCAACGAUGAGGUUCCUUUCUUAACGCGAGGUUUCAAUGGGGAAGAUGUAGCCGAUCCGCGUUCCGUUCUCUCCUACCUCUUCUAAGGAAUCUUCUACUACUCUUUAGAAACCGUCAUGAACGCGUACUUUCUUUAUUAUUUAGUACGCAGUUGUAGGGAGCUACACGAGGAAGUCUACUGAACUCACAACUAUGGGCUUCGUUUUAAUGCUUCUAACUACUCUCUUCAGCUAACGCGCUAGGUUUCCUAUAUGGUGAACAUCCCCCCCAACCACUACAUUUUUUGUUUACACUUCCUUCGAACGUUCUUCCAUGAAGCUCCUGCGUACACUCUCGAGAACAAUUACACUUCUGUUUCCCGUUCUCUGGUCUAUUACAGUUCCACUUACCCUAUAACGAUCUACUAUCCUCCCAGAAACUUCUACUGUUCUGUCCUUUGGUCUAAAGUUCUUGAGCUUCUCCUCACCGCGCGAGGAGUUUAUAAUUUUUGCACUUCUUUCCGAACAAACGAGUAUUCAAUUUCGUGCUACCGUAGUCGUUCCUGAGACCCUUAUCCAAGUGCUUCCUUAGAUUCACACCCCUAGUAGAAGGCUGGCUAGUUUAAUUUCUUUUACUAUUACAACCGGAACAGUGGUUGUUCUACUGACAUAAUCGUAACUACCGAGGACUGUUUACGGACACCUGUCUUCCCUUCUCCGAAUAACGACCACAAAGAGUCAGAGAGUGAACAUCCUUAUUAUUGAGAGAAUGGCAAGCACUUCCGGAAACAAACGGACUGUAUAGAGUUCCUUUUCUCUCGUAAGGGUAUACACACUAGUUGUGUUAACUACCGCACGACGGUUGCGGUAAAUUCAUGUAAUGGUUUCAGUAUAUAGGCGGGAGUAUACGUUUUCGUGGAAGUCAUCCGACACUGACGUGAUUGCCAACGAGCCUGAGAUCACUUACACGAACACGACACUUUUUACCUCCCCUCUAGGGUAAGUUAAACUUAUCGCGUUAACAAAUAUGUUUCGGAGAGUAUAUACUCACACCGGGUAGUACGUCCACGGGCGGUUGUACGGUGUUAUCCCACUCGGUCGUGCCGGGGUUUCAAGGUGACCUUUAUAAGUUCUGGCCCUUCUGUCCAACCCCGCAUUCUAGGGAGUCAAAAUAGGGAAGUCUUCUUCUUCCAAGUCUUAGAAGAUUUAGGCUCUACUGCCGCCUUCCGAACCCGAUAUGUUAUCUACGACGUUUCACACCAUUACAACCUUCUAAGUAGUUGGUAUCGACGAGAGGUUUGUACGUACGUGUCCUACAAGAGACCCUGGUACUACUAUCCUCCUACGGCGUACAAUACGAAAAGCGGCUUUUCUUAUAGGCAGGAGAUGUUCUCGAAUGAAUGCUAAUGUUAAUAUUGUAUCCAUUACACGCGUUCUUACCGUUCCACUUCCUCUUCUUUACGAAAACGCCAAGCAGCUUCACGGCGGAGUCCGAAAUGAUUCCAUAGCCACUGACCACUACCAUUACAAGUAUAAAGCCGCCUUGCGUCAGGACAGUCGCAUCACGAGGAACCAGAAAUGAGAGGGCCAGUGGAACGUCAGCAACUACCGAACACUACAAAAAAAGAACGAUGGGAUCGCAACUUAAUCAUGACGAAAAAUUUCUCGACGUAAUCGAGUAAGACGACAAUCAAAAUAAAAGUCUUGGCUUGGACAUGACCCAUGUACUCAAGACCGACAUCGAAAAGAGACAGUGUUUAAAAUGUAUUAGUUCGUAAGAACGACAGGAAAGUUCGUA